AGGGUAUUGUGUUUUUAAAAAUGUACUGGCAUUGGAAGACUUUUUUUCCUCGGAACACCAACCAAACCCCCCCCCCCCCCCCCGGCUUCCUUCUCUGAGAUUAUUAUGUGAAGAUAGUAAGAGAAACGAGAGGGUGUGCGUGUGUACCUCCAAUUCUUUGAUGUAAAUAUUCUUGAACAUAUUGAAGCAGGUUCAUGCUUCAUUUUGUUGCUGUAAAUAAGAUGUAUAUAAUGUAAAUUGUGUAUUAUGAUAAGAGAAGUGGC
RNAcentral lists this unclassified non-coding RNA (263 nucleotides) under Hevea brasiliensis (rubber tree). The record is from RNAcentral. Lineage: Eukaryota; Viridiplantae; Streptophyta; Magnoliopsida; Malpighiales; Euphorbiaceae.